AAUUAAUGAACUUGUAUAAGUAUAUACUUUGAAAGUAUAAAAAAGAGAUUAUGACUCUCUAUUAAUUU
This 68-nucleotide transfer RNA is filed under the name Cionus olens. RNAcentral's name for it is "tRNA-Ser". The record is from RNAcentral. Lineage: Eukaryota; Metazoa; Arthropoda; Insecta; Coleoptera; Curculionidae.